RNAcentral lists this ribosomal RNA (1454 nucleotides) under uncultured organism. RNAcentral's name for it is "SSU rRNA". It matches the Rfam family "Bacterial small subunit ribosomal RNA". The record is from RNAcentral.
GAUGAACGCUAUCGACAGGCUUAACACAUGCAAGUCGAGGGGCAGCGGGGGUAGCGAUACCCGCCGGCGACCGGCGCACGGGUGAGUAACGCGUAUGCAACUUGCCUAUCAGAGGGGGAUAACCCGGCGAAAGUCGGACUAAUACCGCAUGAAGCAGGGGCCCCGCAUGGGGAUAUUUGCUAAAGAUUCAUCGCUGAUAGAUAGGCAUGCGUUCCAUUAGGCAGUUGGCGGGGUAACGGCCCACCAAACCGACGAUGGAUAGGGGUUCUGAGAGGAAGGUCCCCCACAUUGGUACUGAGACACGGACCAAACUCCUACGGGAGGCAGCAGUGAGGAAUAUUGGUCAAUGGCCGAGAGGCUGAACCAGCCAAGUCGCGUGAGGGAUGAAGGUUCUAUGGAUCGUAAACCUCUUUUAUAAGGGAAUAAAGUGCGGGACGUGUCCCGUUUUGUAUGUACCUUAUGAAUAAGGAUCGGCUAACUCCGUGCCAGCAGCCGCGGUAAUACGGAGGAUCCGAGUGUUAUCCGGAUUUAUUGGGUUUAAAGGGUGCGUAGGCGGCCUUUUAAGUCAGCGGUGAAAGUCUGUGGCUCAACCAUAGAAUUGCCGUUGAAACUGGGGGGCUUGAGUAUGUUUGAGGCAGGCGGAAUGCGUGGUGUAGCGGUGAAAUGCAUAGAUAUCACGCAGAACCCCGAUUGCGAAGGCAGCCUGCCAAGCCAUUACUGACGCUGAUGCACGAAAGCGUGGGGAUCAAACAGGAUUAGAUACCCUGGUAGUCCACGCAGUAAACGAUGAUCACUAGCUGUUUGCGAUACACUGUAAGCGGCACAGCGAAAGCGUUAAGUGAUCCACCUGGGGAGUACGCCGGCAACGGUGAAACUCAAAGGAAUUGACGGGGGCCCGCACAAGCGGAGGAACAUGUGGUUUAAUUCGAUGAUACGCGAGGAACCUUACCCGGGUUUGAACGCAUUCGGACCGAGGUGGAAACACCUUUUCUAGCAAUAGCCGUUUGCGAGGUGCUGCAUGGUUGUCGUCAGCUCGUGCCGUGAGGUGUCGGCUUAAGUGCCAUAACGAGCGCAACCCUUGCCACUAGUUACUAACAGGUAAAGCUGAGGACUCUGGUGGGACUGCCAGCGUAAGCUGCGAGGAAGGCGGGGAUGGCGUCAAAUCAGCACGGCCCUUACAUCCGGGGCGACACACGUGUUACAAUGGCGUGGACAAAGGGAAGCCACCUGGCGACAGGGAGCGAAUCCCCAAACCACGUCUCAGUUCGGAUCGGAGUCUGCAACCCGACUCCGUGAAGCUGGAUUCGCUAGUAAUCGCGCAUCAGCCAUGGUGCGGUGAAUACGUUCCCGGGCCUUGUACACACCGCCCGUCAAGCCAUGGGAGCCGGGGGUACCUGAAGUCCGUAACCGAAAGGAUCGGCCUAGGGUAAAACUGGUGACUGGGGCUAAGUCGU